CCUCCACUAUUCAACGAUCCAAUUAUUCACUGUUUCUUCUUACAACUGUUCACUUGUGAAAUGUGAUCCUAAAUCCUCGUAUUGUAUAUCUGCAUCACUUGAAGGUUCAAACUGCGGACAUACAUCUCCCCCACCCUUCACACUUCUAAGCGUUGGCCAGGUCGUCACCUUUUGGGAAGGGGAGAUUGUUGACACCAAGAAUUAUACUUUCUUCACUGAGAAGUGGGAAGCAACACACGAUGGUGAUAUAAGGCACUGGACCAAAUUUCCUUCUUUUUCUGCUCUUUUGGUAAGCUGAGGAGUCUUAAUGUCGUCUUUCAUAUAUGAAGUUCUGUUGUCUCCUAGCUAAUUCCACAUUUUACGGAGCCAAGUGGAAGUUGAUGGUGGCAAAUCAUUAGAUCUCAGCAACUAUCCAUACAUAUUCAUGAGACGGAAGAAGCAAUACUUCGUGAAUGUUGGCACAGACUCCGGUUUGACUAUAGCUGGCUUUUACUAUGUGUGUUUCUCAUGCAGUGAUGGCUCUAUCAACGGCUUCUAUUAUGAUCCUAAUAGCAGAAGGCUUUCUGCUCAAGUUCUGCAGCUAUUCAAUCCUUGGUCCAAGCUGCUCAAGAUGUCGAACCUAGGCCAAGCUGCAUCUACAUGGAUCCAGAGUGUUAUUGAUCCAGGUGGAGUCCUAGUUCCACUAGGAAAACUAUUAUGCAGUUUCUGUGUGGAUGUUGUGCAGUUGGUUUUAAUUUUUCUUGUAUAUGUGUUAUAUCUUAUAUGUGUUGAUCUUGGUUAUUGAUGUAUGUUGUUGUUGCAUCAUGUGGUUUAACAUUAUCUUUAGUAUGUUUAGCAUUUAAU
Long non-coding RNA from Rosa chinensis, 843 nucleotides. RefSeq lists it as uncharacterized. The transcript is spliced from 5 exons. Lineage: Eukaryota; Viridiplantae; Streptophyta; Magnoliopsida; Rosales; Rosaceae. The record is from RefSeq and is a predicted model, not a curated record.